Molecule: non-coding RNA, 28 nt
Filed under: Mus musculus (house mouse)
Lineage: Eukaryota; Metazoa; Chordata; Mammalia; Rodentia; Muridae
Source: RNAcentral
UUGAACUUACCAAGACAGAGAUCCACCU